This is a long non-coding RNA of Amphiprion ocellaris (clown anemonefish), 543 nucleotides long. The record is from Ensembl. NCBI's taxonomy places the organism in Eukaryota, Metazoa, Chordata, Actinopteri, Pomacentridae.
UUUAUUUAUCGGUGCAACAGCAGAACAUUUUCCACAGACAGUUUUCCUGCCCGUUGGCUUGUUUUAACCAGUUUUCUGCCUUCGGCUGAUUCUACCAGCAGACACUGAAAGGACUGAUAGUUCGAGUGAAAGUAGCAAUUCCUCCUUAAGGUCAGCGAUUGCAGCAUCUGAGGGCCUCUUCAAAAGAAGACGUAGCUGAUGAAGGCGUUCUGGAGCAGGACCAGAAAGACCACGACCAAGCAGCCUUGAGAUAUUAGGCAGCGUCUCCUUCAGACCAAAGAACUACAGACUCUUCACAACCUGCUCAAACUCUUGGUACAGGACCUCACCACACGGGUCAAGAAGGUUUCCAUCUCAAUUCUACUCUGAAGCUCACCUUCUCCUGCUCAAACUGCUGACAAAUGUUUCUGCUGCUCUAAAGUCUGGUCUCCAGAACUUCCUAAAAACUCUCUAAGUCUGCUUUGUAGAACUGUUGCAGAAAACCUCACUAAACCACAUGGAGGGGCCUCAAGAUAGUCAUCCAAAUGAAACCGUACAAAAACC